RNAcentral lists this ribosomal RNA (304 nucleotides) under uncultured bacterium. RNAcentral describes it as "partial 16S ribosomal RNA". It matches the Rfam family "Bacterial small subunit ribosomal RNA", at positions 506 to 807 of the family's 1533-position model. The record is from RNAcentral.
CAGCAGUAGCCGCGGUAAUACAGAGGGUGCGAGCGUUAAUCGGAUUUACUGGGCGUAAAGCGUGCGUAGGCGGCUUCUUAAGUCGGAUGUGAAAUCCCUGAGCUUAACUUAGGAAUUGCAUUCGAUACUGGGAAGCUAGAGUAUGGGAGAGGAUGGUAGAAUUCCAGGUGUAGCGGUGAAAUGCGUAGAGAUCUGGAGGAAUACCGAUGGCGAAGGCAGCCAUCUGGCCUAAUACUGACGCUGAGGUACGAAAGCAUGGGGAGCAAACAGGAUUAGAUACCCGGGUAGUCCCUGUCUCUUAUAC